AUACGGAGGGUGCGAGCGUUAUCCGGAUUUAUUAGGUUUAAAGGGUGUGUAGGCGGGAGCCUAAGUCAGUGGUGAAAUCUCACAGCUUAACUGUGAAACUGCCAUUGAAACUGGGUUUCUUGAGUAUAGUUGAGGUAGGCGGAAUGUGUAAUGUAGCGGUGAAAUGCAUAGAUAGUACACAGAACACCGAUUGCGAAGGCAGCUUACUAAGCUAUUACUGACGCUGAUGCACGAAAGCGUGGGUAGCGAACAGGAUUAGAUACCCGAGUAGUCC
This 274-nucleotide ribosomal RNA is filed under the name uncultured bacterium. Its description in RNAcentral is "partial 16S ribosomal RNA". It matches the Rfam family "Bacterial small subunit ribosomal RNA", at positions 523 to 796 of the family's 1533-position model. The record is from RNAcentral.